UACAGAGGGUGCAAGCGUUGCUCGGAAUCAUUGGGCGUAAAGCGCACGUAGGCGGCCUGUUAAGUCGGGUGUGAAAGCCCUGGGCUCAACCCAGGAAGUGCACUCGAAACUGGCAGGCUUGAGUAUGGAAGAGGGUCGCGGAAUUCCCGGUGUAGAGGUGAAAUUCGUAGAUAUCGGGAGGAACACCAGUGGCGAAGGCGGCGACCUGGCCCGAUACUGACGCUGAGGUGCGAAAGCGUGGGGAGCAAACAGG
This 253-nucleotide ribosomal RNA is filed under the name uncultured bacterium. Its description in RNAcentral is "partial 16S ribosomal RNA". It matches the Rfam family "Bacterial small subunit ribosomal RNA", at positions 524 to 776 of the family's 1533-position model. The record is from RNAcentral.